AUUGAACGCUGGCGGCAGGCCUAACACAUGCAAGUCGAACGAGUGGCGGACGGGUGAGUAAUGUCUGGGAAACUGCCUGAUGGAGGGGGAUAACUACUGGAAACGGUGGCUAAUACCGCAUACCAUCGGAUGAGCCCAGAUGGGAUUAGCUAGUUGGUGGGGUAACGGUUCACCAAGGCGACGAUCCCUAGCUGGUCUGAGAGGAUGACCAGCCACAUUGGGACGGAGACACGGCCCAGACGCCUACGGGAGGCAGCAGUGGGGAAUAUUGCACAAUGGGCGCAAGCCUGAGGCAGCCAUGCCGCGUGUAUGAAGAAGGCCUUCGGGUUGUAAAGUACUUUCAGCGGGGAGGCGUUACCCGCAGAAGAAGCACCGGCUAACUCCGUGCCAGCAGCCGCGGUAAUAC
This 406-nucleotide ribosomal RNA is filed under the name uncultured bacterium. RNAcentral describes it as "partial 16S ribosomal RNA". It matches the Rfam family "Bacterial small subunit ribosomal RNA", at positions 29 to 526 of the family's 1533-position model. The record is from RNAcentral.